ACAGAGAAAAAUAUUUUUAAUUAUAAGAUAAAUAUAUGCAGAAAUCUAACAGUUUUAAAUUCUAUGAAAAUGCAUGACUUUUUUUUAAAAAAUAUAAUUUUAAAGUUGCUAUUCAAGAAGUAUGGUUGCCUAUAUAGGACAAAACCACAGAAGUUUUCAAAUUUUUCAGAGGAUUACCUUUUAUCUUAUAAACAGUGUUAUGGGGGUUUUCUCUACCCCAUCGAGGAAGGGACAGCUUCUACAGCACUAAUUUAUAUCAUAAAAACAAUAGAGAGAUUCUCCCUUCUGAAGCUAAGAAAGAAUAUAAAAAUAUGAGAUUACAAUCUAGUCUUUUUCAUGAAUAUAGGUGUAAUAACCCCAUUUAAAAUGUAGGAGUUGGAUUUAACAUUAUUAUACUUUAAAAUGGGGGCAAGUCCACCAUGACUGCAGACUGUAUCUUAUGCAGAAAGAGCCCGGUGUUAGGAAAUCUUUUAAUAAUAAUAAUAACAAUUUGUGAUAUUAGGAAUUGUAUAUUAUGGUUAUAGACAACAAAAUAAACUAUAUGACAAAUCUCCAGAUGUCUAGAAUGUUUAAUGUAAUUCAACAUGGAAUUCCAAAACUGUUUGGUAAAAUUGAACC
This 618-nucleotide long non-coding RNA is filed under the name Rattus norvegicus (Norway rat). Its description in RNAcentral is "long non-coding RNA NONRATT020289". The record is from RNAcentral. Lineage: Eukaryota; Metazoa; Chordata; Mammalia; Rodentia; Muridae.